UCAUCAUAAUCUUAAAAAUAAUGAUGAUUGAAAGAUAUCAAUAUUUUCAAAAAGGAGAUCUAUUACAGGAAUGCAUUAACAAUUUCACUUUCAAAAAGGCAUAAUUAAGUAUAAUCCGAAUAAUUGAAAUACAUAUCACAUUUUAGCGUCAAUGCAUAAUUAAAAAGAUUUCACAAAAUACCCUACUGGCGUCCCAAGUAGGUCACCUAUAUACCCCAUCAGCGUCCUGAUAGGUCCACUUAAUCCCUAUCGGCGUCUCAGAUAGGUCCACUUAAUCCCUGCAGGUCCACUUAUACCUCACCGGCGUACCGGAUGAGUCCACUUAAUCCCUAUCGGUGUCUCGGAUAGGUCCACUUAUACCUCACCGGCGAACCGGAUGAGUGCACUUGCAUACUUAAAGUAUUUCUAAAUCUCUUUAAACAUUCGAAAGCA
Molecule: long non-coding RNA, 432 nt
Filed under: Amborella trichopoda
Lineage: Eukaryota; Viridiplantae; Streptophyta; Magnoliopsida; Amborellales; Amborellaceae
Description: long non-coding RNA (ATRI_LNC000724)
Source: RNAcentral